UGACAAGGUGGAAACCAUGUAUGUGGUGAU
RNAcentral lists this non-coding RNA (30 nucleotides) under Homo sapiens (human). The record is from RNAcentral. Lineage: Eukaryota; Metazoa; Chordata; Mammalia; Primates; Hominidae.